GCCGCAGUUUCCUGUGCUAAGGUAGCGCAAUAACUUGCCUUCUAAUUAAAGGAUCGUAUGAAAGGACACAUGACUUUCUUAUUUUCUCAUAUAUUUAAAAUAAAUUUAACCUACAAGUAAAAAGACUUGUAUUAACAAGAAAGACGACAAGACCCUAUAGAACUUCACUAUUGUUAAACUGGGGUGGUCAACAACAAAAGCUUAUCUUCCCAAACCACACAAAGACCUGAAACUUUCAACAAAAGAACAAGUUACCUUAGGGAUAACAGAGUAAUUCCUCUCUAGACCUGUUCCAAAGAGGAGCUUUCUACCUCGAUGUUGAAUUUAAUAUUACUUCAUAAAUAAACAUUAUACAAGUAGGUCUGUUCGACCUUUAAAAUAUUACAUGAU
This 390-nucleotide ribosomal RNA is filed under the name Loxosceles rufescens. Its description in RNAcentral is "partial 16S ribosomal RNA". It matches the Rfam family "Archaeal large subunit ribosomal RNA", at positions 2007 to 2673 of the family's 2987-position model. The record is from RNAcentral. Lineage: Eukaryota; Metazoa; Arthropoda; Arachnida; Araneae; Sicariidae.